This 468-nucleotide ribosomal RNA is filed under the name uncultured bacterium. Its description in RNAcentral is "partial 16S ribosomal RNA". It matches the Rfam family "Bacterial small subunit ribosomal RNA", at positions 28 to 507 of the family's 1533-position model. The record is from RNAcentral.
GAUGAACGCUGGCGGCGUGCUUAACACAUGCAAGUCGAACGGAAAGGCCCUGCUUUUGUGGGGUGCUCGAGUGGCGAACGGGUGAGUAACACGUGAGUAACCUGCCCUUGACUUUGGGAUAACUUCAGGAAACUGGGGCUAAUACCGGAUAGGAGCUCCUGCUGCAUGGUGGGGGUUGGAAAGUUUCGGCGGUUGGGGAUGGACUCGCGGCUUAUCAGCUUGUUGGUGGGGUAGUGGCUUACCAAGGCUUUGACGGGUAGCCGGCCCGAGAGGGUGACCGGCCACAUUGGGACUGAGAUACGGCCCAGACUCCUACGGGAGGCAGCAGUGGGGAAUAUUGCACAAUGGGCGGAAGCCUGAUGCAGCAACGCCGCGUGCGGGAUGACGGCCUUCGGGUUGUAAACCGCUUUCGCCUGUGACGAAGCGUGAGUGACGGUAAUGGGUAAAGAAGCACCGGCUAACUACGUG